ACAGACAGGAGACAGACAGGAGAUAGACAGGAGACAGACACAGGAAAGGCAGGAGGCAGACACGAGACAGACAGGAGGCAGACAGGAGACAGACAGGGGACAGACAGGAGACAGACAGGAGAUAGACAGGAGACAGUCAGGAGACAGACCGGAGACAGACAGGAGACAGACAGGAGACAGACAGGAGACAGACAGGAGACAGACAGGGGACAGACAGGAGAUAGACAGGAGGCAGACAGAGGAAAGGCAGGAGGCAGACAGGAGACAGACAGGAGACAGACAG
This is a long non-coding RNA of Oncorhynchus tshawytscha (Chinook salmon), 283 nucleotides long. The record is from Ensembl. NCBI's taxonomy places the organism in Eukaryota, Metazoa, Chordata, Actinopteri, Salmoniformes, Salmonidae.